CCCACUAAGAGGGUGGAAGUAGGACUUACCUGUUUCUCAAAGGCACUUGGCACCAAUCUUCUCAACUCUGAAAGACUGUUAUUGAUUCUGUCACGUCUCCGUUUCUCGAUAAUCUGUAAAGAGGUUAAAGAUACAGAGUUAUUUAGGUUACAUGUGGCGAGGAAAAGAGGGGGUGAUAUGAAACAGCAGGGAUGAGGACUUUUCUUACCCCUCUGCGCCUUUUUCUGGCUUGGACUUGGGUCGUUGUGGAGGGCGACAUCGAGCCGUGGGAAUCCAGUUGACUGAAAGGUCUGGGAAAGAACAGCGCUUGAGGCUGGUAUACUUCCUGCAUAAAGACGUGUCUGGUAAGGCCAUCAGUGAGAGCGUGACCCCCCAAACAUCUUCCAUACUAGUACCUUGUCGAGCAGCAGCUGUUUCUCUGCUCCGUCCGUCAGAUAAUCCAGAGGAGCCUAUGAAGAGACACCGGCCAAACUUAAAGGACAGCUGAAGAGAGACAAGAAAUGUGGGGAGAAGAGAGUGG
Long non-coding RNA from Notolabrus celidotus (New Zealand spotty), 520 nucleotides. RefSeq lists it as uncharacterized. The transcript has 4 exons. The record is from RefSeq and is a predicted model, not a curated record. Lineage: Eukaryota; Metazoa; Chordata; Actinopteri; Labriformes; Labridae.